RNAcentral lists this ribosomal RNA (459 nucleotides) under uncultured bacterium. RNAcentral describes it as "partial 16S ribosomal RNA". It matches the Rfam family "Bacterial small subunit ribosomal RNA", at positions 338 to 795 of the family's 1533-position model. The record is from RNAcentral.
CCUACGGGUGGCAGCAGUGAGGAAUAUUGGUCAAUGGACGGGAGUCUGAACCAGCCAAGUCGCGUGAAGGAUGACUGCCCUAUGGGUUGUAAACUUCUUUUGCCUGGGAGUAAAGUGCCGCACGUGUGCGGUUUGGUGUGUACCCGGUGAAAAAGCAUCGGCUAACUCCGUGCCAGCAGCCGCGGUAAUACGGAGGAUGCGAGCGUUAUCCGGAUUUAUUGGGUUUAAGGGGUGCGUAGGCGGACGGUUAAGUCGGCGGUAAAAUUGUGGGGCUCAACCUCGUAGUGCAGUUGAAACUGGGUGCCUUGAGUGGGCGAGAGGUACGCGGAAUGCGUGGUGUAGCGGUGAAAUGCAUAGAUAUCACGAAGAACUCCGAUUGCGAAGGCAGCGUACCGGCGCGCAACUGACGCUGAAGCACGAAGGCGUGGGUAUCGAACAGGAUUAGAUACCCGAGUAGUC